GAGCGGCAGCACGGGUACUUGUACCUGGUGGCGAGCGGCGGACGGGUGAGUAAUGCCUAGGAAUCUGCCUGGUAGUGGGGGAUAACGCUCGGAAACGGACGCUAAUACCGCAUACGUCCUACGGGAGAAAGCAGGGGACCUUCGGGCCUUGCGCUAUCAGAUGAGCCUAGGUCGGAUUAGCUAGUUGGUGAGGUAAUGGCUCACCAAGGCGACGAUCCGUAACUGGUCUGAGAGGAUGAUCAGUCACACUGGAACUGAGACACGGUCCAGACUCCUACGGGAGGCAGCAGUGGGGAAUAUUGGACAAUGGGCGAAAGCCUGAUCCAGCCAUGCCGCGUGUGUGAAGAAGGUCUUCGGAUUGUAAAGCACUUUAAGUUGGGAGGAAGGGCAUUUACCUAAUACGUAAG
RNAcentral lists this ribosomal RNA (407 nucleotides) under uncultured bacterium. Its description in RNAcentral is "bacterial SSU rRNA". It matches the Rfam family "Bacterial small subunit ribosomal RNA", at positions 64 to 471 of the family's 1533-position model. The record is from RNAcentral.